CUUGUCUGUCAGAGUGAAGUUUUAAUGCCCAUUAAAGAAAGACAACAUAAUCCCAAAUCCUUGCAAUGCAUUGCCUAGUGUCUUUUCUAGAGGCGAUUAAAUUUUAAUACUAAACUUCAAGGAGUAAUAAAACCAAGAAGUGGCACAUGGGAAGGGAGCGACGACAGACUUCUUAGGUCUGGGGAAGAGAGAAAGUAUUUUUGUGUCUUUGCCCUGACUCACCGUGGCCUCUCAUGGAAUAAAAAUGUGGAAAAGUGUGGAAAAAA
RNAcentral lists this long non-coding RNA (266 nucleotides) under Homo sapiens (human). RNAcentral describes it as "HSALNT0099339". Lineage: Eukaryota; Metazoa; Chordata; Mammalia; Primates; Hominidae. The record is from RNAcentral.